GCAACUUCCGAUGACCAACUUACAUCUCUUGGAGAAUUGUUGUAUCAGUGCCAUUAUAGUUACAGUGCAUGUGGACUGGGGUCGGAUGGGACGGACAGGCUAGUUCAGUUGGUUCAAGAUAUGCAGCACUCCAAGUUAUCCAAAUCCGAAGAUGGGACUUUGUAUGGAGCAAAGAUUACUGGCGGGGGCUCUGGUGGAACCGUCUGUGUCAUGGGUCGAAACUCCUUAGGCAGCAGCCACCAAAUCAUUGAGAUUCAGCAAAGAUACAAAGGAGCAACCGGGUUCUUGCCAUAUGUUUUUGAUGGUUCUUCCCCUGGUG
RNAcentral lists this unclassified non-coding RNA (319 nucleotides) under Hevea brasiliensis (rubber tree). The record is from RNAcentral. Lineage: Eukaryota; Viridiplantae; Streptophyta; Magnoliopsida; Malpighiales; Euphorbiaceae.